Long non-coding RNA from Xenia sp. Carnegie-2017, 266 nucleotides. RefSeq lists it as uncharacterized. The transcript has 2 exons. NCBI's taxonomy places the organism in Eukaryota, Metazoa, Cnidaria, Anthozoa, Malacalcyonacea, Xeniidae. The record is from RefSeq and is a predicted model, not a curated record.
UCAACGGCAAGCACUUACACAAAACCAUACAAGUUGACCUCGAUAUGUUUGAGUUUUGUGAUGUGAAAGAUCAUGAAUACAUCACCAGAGACACGAAAUUUCAUUGCCCAUUAUAAGAAAUGAUGUUUAUUCGAGAAAUUAAACCAUAGAUGAACAGUUCUGAGCAAACUACAAUUUGGUGCCAAACUCUUUAUUUCGCCAUGUUUGUAUGAUUUGAUCGUUUAUUAUUUACUAGUUGCUUGCUAAUUAUAUUUAGUAGAUGUUAA